RNAcentral lists this ribosomal RNA (449 nucleotides) under uncultured bacterium. RNAcentral describes it as "partial 16S ribosomal RNA". It matches the Rfam family "Bacterial small subunit ribosomal RNA", at positions 29 to 523 of the family's 1533-position model. The record is from RNAcentral.
AAUGAACGCUGGCGGCAGGCCUAACACAUGCAAGUCGAACGGAUCCUUCGGGAUUAGUGGCGGACGGGUGAGUAACGCGUGGGAACAUACCCAAAGGUACGGAAUAGCCUCGGGAAACUGGGAGUAAUACCGUAUGUGCUCGAAAGAGGAAAGAUUUAUCGCCUUUGGAUUGGCCCGCGUUGGAUUAGGUAGUUGGUGGGGUAAUGGCCUACCAAGCCGACGAUCCAUAGCUGGUUUGAGAGGAUGAUCAGCCACACUGGGACUGAGACACGGCCCAGACUCCUACGGGAGGCAGCAGUGGGGAAUCUUAGACAAUGGGGGAAACCCUGAUCUAGCCAUGCCGCGUGAUCGAUGAAGGCCUUAGGGUUGUAAAGAUCUUUCAGGUGGGAAGAUAAUGACUGUACCACCAGAAGAAGCCCCGGCUAACUUCGUGCCAGCCGACGCGGUAA